GGACAGGAGGGUGACCUAACUGCCACAUCUGUGUCCUACUGUCAGAGCUGAGCUGGUUGACCUGGCUGGCUAGGUGAGUAUCCUCUUCCUCCCUCACCACUCUGUGUGUCCUUCCCAACGCUAUGUGCUUAUUGGAAGGGAAUGUCCUUCCCUAAUAGAAGAGGACUGUUCUUUGGUCAAGGGUCUGUGGGUAGCCACACUCCCCUGCCAGACCCUCCAAAUGAGCGCUCAAAAACCUCACAGCAAACAUAACACUUAACAGAAAUAUUAAAUGCUUU
Molecule: small nuclear RNA, 278 nt
Filed under: Microtus ochrogaster (prairie vole)
Lineage: Eukaryota; Metazoa; Chordata; Mammalia; Rodentia; Cricetidae
Description: 7SK RNA (ENSMOCG00000009383.1)
Rfam family: 7SK RNA
About the family: 7SK was discovered as an abundant small nuclear RNA in the mid-70s but a possible function has only recently been suggested. Two independent studies have found that 7SK RNA binds the CDK9/cyclin T complex (known as elongation factor P-TEFb).
Source: RNAcentral